This 741-nucleotide ribosomal RNA is filed under the name uncultured archaeon. RNAcentral describes it as "bacterial SSU rRNA". It matches the Rfam family "Archaeal small subunit ribosomal RNA", at positions 118 to 859 of the family's 1478-position model. The record is from RNAcentral.
GGACUGGGAUAACCCUGGGAAACUGGGGAUAAUACCGGAUAGGCAAUUUUUCCUGUAAUGGUUUUUUGUUUAAAUGUUUUUUCGCCUAAGGAUGGGUCUGCGGCCGAUUAGGUAGUUGGUUAGGUAAUGGCUUACCAAGCCGUUGAUCGGUACGGGUUGUGAGAGCAAGAGCCCGGAGAUGGAACCUGAGACAAGGUUCCAGGCCCUACGGGGUGCAGCAGGCGCGAAACCUCCGCAAUGUGAGAAAUCGCGACGGGGGGAUCCCAAGUGCCAUUCUUAACGGGAUGGCUUUUCAUUAGUGUAAAGAGCUUUUGGAAUAAGGGCUGGGCAAGACCGGUGCCAGCCGCCGCGGUAACACCGGCAGCUCUAGUGGUAGCAGUUUUUAUUGGGCCUAAAGCGUCCGUAGCCGGUUUAAUAAGUCUCUGGUGAAAUCCUGUAGCUUAACUGUGGGAAUUGCUGGAGAUACUAUUAGACUUGAGACCGGGAGAGGUUAGAGGUACUCCCAGGGUAGAGGUGAAAUUCUGUAAUCCUGGGAGGACCGCCUGUUGCGAAGGCGUCUAACUGGAACGGUUCUGACGGUGAGGGACGAAAGUUAGGGGCGCGAACCGGAUUAGAUACCCGGGUAGUCCUAACUGUAAACGAUGCGGACUUGGUGUUGGGGUGGCUUUGAGCUGCUUCAGUGCCGAAGGGAAGCUGUUAAGUCCGCCGCCUGGGAAGUACGGUCGCAAGACUGAAACUUAA